GUCGGGUGCAGUGGCGUGCGCCUGUAAUCCAAGCUGCUGGGAGGCUGAGACUGGCGGAUCGCUUGAGUUCAGGGGUUCUGGGCUGCAGUGGACUAUGUUGAUCGGGUGUCCGCACUAAGUUCGGUAUCGAUAUGGUGUUCCUGGGGGAGCUCGGGACCACCAGGUCGUCUAAGGAGGGGUGAACCGGCCCAGGUCGGAGACGGAGCAGGUCAAAGCCCCCGUGUCGAUCAGUAGUGGGGUCGCACCUGUGAAUAGACACAGCGAGACUCAGACUUUUGCGUUUGCUCUCAAAUAACUUCCAGACUAA
This 307-nucleotide signal recognition particle RNA is filed under the name Sinocyclocheilus anshuiensis. RNAcentral describes it as "Metazoan signal recognition particle RNA (ENSSANG00000034796.1)". It matches the Rfam family "Metazoan signal recognition particle RNA". Rfam says of the family: The signal recognition particle (SRP) is a universally conserved ribonucleoprotein. It is involved in the co-translational targeting of proteins to membranes. Lineage: Eukaryota; Metazoa; Chordata; Actinopteri; Cypriniformes; Cyprinidae. The record is from RNAcentral.